AUACGUAGGUGGCAAGCGUUGUCCGGAAUUAUUGGGCGUAAAGCGCGCGCAGGUGGUUCCUUAAGUCUGAUGUGAAAGCCCCCGGCUCAACCGGGGAGGGUCAUUGGAAACUGGGGAACUUGAGUGCAGAAGAGGAUAGUGGAAUUCCAAGUGUAGCAGUGAAAUGCGUAGAGAUUUGGAGGAACACCAGUGGCGAAGGCGACUGUCUGGUCUGUAACUGACACUGAGGCGCGAAAGCGUGGGGAGCAAACAGGAUUAGAUACCCUGGUAGUCCACGCCGUAAACGAUGAGUGCUAAGUGUUGGGGGGUUUCCGCCCCUCAGUGCUGCAGCUAACGCAUUAAGCACUCCGCCUGGGGAGUACGGUCGCAAGACUGAAACUCAAAGGAAUUGACGGGG
Molecule: ribosomal RNA, 397 nt
Filed under: uncultured bacterium
Lineage: Bacteria
Description: partial 16S ribosomal RNA
Rfam family: Bacterial small subunit ribosomal RNA
Source: RNAcentral